This 1587-nucleotide ribosomal RNA is filed under the name Pseudomonas fluorescens. Its description in RNAcentral is "partial 23S ribosomal RNA". It matches the Rfam family "Bacterial large subunit ribosomal RNA", at positions 1 to 1639 of the family's 2925-position model. Lineage: Bacteria; Pseudomonadati; Pseudomonadota; Gammaproteobacteria; Pseudomonadales; Pseudomonadaceae. The record is from RNAcentral.
GGUCAAGUGAAGAAGCGCAUACGGUGGAUGCCUUGGCAGUCAGAGGCGAUGAAAGACGUGGUAGCCUGCGAAAAGCUUCGGGGAGUCGGCAAACAGACUUUGAUCCGGAGAUGUCUGAAUGGGGGAACCCAGCCAUCAUAAGAUGGUUACCUUACACUGAAUACAUAGGUGUAUGGAGCGAACCAGGGGAACUGAAACAUCUAAGUACCCUGAGGAAAAGAAAUCAACCGAGAUUCCCUUAGUAGUGGCGAGCGAACGGGGACUAGCCCUUAAGUGGCUUUGAGAUUAGCGGAACGCUCUGGAAAGUGCGGCCAUAGUGGGUGAUAGCCCUGUACGCGAAAAUCUCUUAGUCAUGAAAUCGAGUAGGACGGAGCACGAGAAACUUUGUCUGAAUAUGGGGGGACCAUCCUCCAAGGCUAAAUACUACUGACUGACCGAUAGUGAACUAGUACCGUGAGGGAAAGGCGAAAAGAACCCCGGAGAGGGGAGUGAAAUAGAUCCUGAAACCGUAUGCGUACAAGCAGUGGGAGCCCACUUUGUUGGGUGACUGCGUACCUUUUGUAUAAUGGGUCAGCGACUUAUUUUCAGUGGCGAGCUUAACCGAAUAGGGGAGGCGUAGCGAAAGCGAGUCUUAAUAGGGCGUCUAGUCGCUGGGAAUAGACCCGAAACCGGGCGAUCUAUCCAUGGGCAGGUUGAAGGUUGGGUAACACUAACUGGAGGACCGAACCGACUACCGUUGAAAAGUUAGCGGAUGACCUGUGGAUCGGAGUGAAAGGCUAAUCAAGCUCGGAGAUAGCUGGUUCUCCUCGAAAGCUAUUUAGGUAGCGCCUCAUGUAUCACUGUAGGGGGUAGAGCACUGUUUCGGCUAGGGGGUCAUCCCGACUUACCAAACCGAUGCAAACUCCGAAUACCUACAAGUGCCGAGCAUGGGAGACACACGGCGGGUGCUAACGUCCGUCGUGAAAAGGGAAACAACCCAGACCGUCAGCUAAGGUCCCAAAGUUAUGGUUAAGUGGGAAACGAUGUGGGAAGGCUUAGACAGCUAGGAGGUUGGCUUAGAAGCAGCCACCCUUUAAAGAAAGCGUAAUAGCUCACUAGUCGAGUCGGCCUGCGCGGAAGAUGUAACGGGGCUCAAACCAUACACCGAAGCUACGGGUAUCACGUAAGUGAUGCGGUAGAGGAGCGUUCUGUAAGCCUGUGAAGGUGAGUUGAGAAGCUUGCUGGAGGUAUCAGAAGUGCGAAUGCUGACAUGAGUAACGACAAUGGGUGUGAAAAACACCCACGCCGAAAGACCAAGGUUUCCUGCGCAACGUUAAUCGACGCAGGGUUAGUCGGUCCCUAAGGCGAGGCUGAAAAGCGUAGUCGAUGGAAAACAGGUUAAUAUUCCUGUACUUCUGGUUAUUGCGAUGGAGGGACGGAGAAGGCUAGGCCAGCUUGGCGUUGGUUGUCCAAGUUUAAGGUGGUAGGCUGAGAUCUUAGGUAAAUCCGGGAUCUUAAGGCCGAGAGCUGAUGACGAGUCGUCUUUUAGACGACGAAGUGGUUGAUGCCAUGCUUCCAAGAAAAGCUUCUAAGCUUCAGGUAACCAGG